This 72-nucleotide transfer RNA is filed under the name Desulfobacteraceae bacterium. Its description in RNAcentral is "tRNA-Phe". Lineage: Bacteria; Pseudomonadati; Thermodesulfobacteriota; Desulfobacteria; Desulfobacterales; Desulfobacteraceae. The record is from RNAcentral.
AAGUAUGUUAUGCAUAAGCUAUGAGGAUUGAAAAUCCUCGUGUCGGCGGUUCGAUUCCGUCCCUGGGCACCA